RNAcentral lists this ribosomal RNA (459 nucleotides) under uncultured bacterium. RNAcentral's name for it is "partial 16S ribosomal RNA". It matches the Rfam family "Bacterial small subunit ribosomal RNA", at positions 338 to 795 of the family's 1533-position model. The record is from RNAcentral.
CCUACGGGAGGCAGCAGUGAGGAAUAUUGGUCAAUGGCCGCAGGGCUGAACCAGCCAAGUCGCGUGAGGGAUGACGGUCCUAUGGAUUGUAAACCUCUUUUGUCAGGGAACAAAGGGCGCCACGUGUGCCGUUUUGCGAGUACCUGAAGAAAAAGCAUCGGCUAACUCCGUGCCAGCAGCCGCGGUAAUACGGAGGAUGCGAGCGUUAUCCGGAUUUAUUGGGUUUAAAGGGUGCGCAGGCGGAAUGUAAAGUCAGCGGUAAAAUUUCGGGGCUCAACCCCGUCGUGCCGUUGAAACUGGCGGUCUUGAGUGAGCGUGAGGUAUGCGGAAUGCGUGGUGUAGCGGUGAAAUGCAUAGAUAUCACGCAGAACUCCGAUUGCGAAGGCAGCAUACCGGCGCUUAACUGACGCUCAUGCACGAAAGCGUGGGUAUCGAACAGGAUUAGAUACCCGUGUAGUC